Acanthosepion pharaonis is the source of this 113-nucleotide non-coding RNA. The record is from the annotation of a GenBank genome assembly. Lineage: Eukaryota; Metazoa; Mollusca; Cephalopoda; Sepiida; Sepiidae.
UAUGGCCAUAUCGUGUUAAAACACCGGUCCCCGUACGAUCACCGAAGUUAAACAACGUCGAGACUGGUCAGUACCUAGGUGGGUGACAGUAUGGGGAGGCCAGGUGCUGUAAG